Gadus macrocephalus (Pacific cod) is the source of this 1818-nucleotide long non-coding RNA. RefSeq lists it as uncharacterized. NCBI's taxonomy places the organism in Eukaryota, Metazoa, Chordata, Actinopteri, Gadiformes, Gadidae. The record is from RefSeq and is a predicted model, not a curated record. The transcript has 2 exons.
GGCCAUCGAUCGAUUCCUAAAGUGGACCAAAGGCCUCUCUUUUUGGCCCAGUCUAUAUCGCUCGUUGAUUUUGCUCCAUUUAGCUAAAUCCAUAGUGCGGUCUGUUUAGCCAACUCUACAUUGUUCUGUUAUAGCAACUGUAUUGCACCCUGUUUGCCAAUCCUGUUGAUCUGUCAGCCGACCUGUGUGACUGUUUAAAGGCUGUUGAGGCGUCAGGUUCUGCCGGGCUGUUCCCUAGGCCUCAGGUCCCCCUAGUGCUGAGCUGUUCUCUAGGCUUCAGGGGGGGGCGGGCUGUAGAGGGCUGACACGUCUGUCACAGAGACGCUAACCGUUCCAGAUGUGAAGGGCUAUUACAAUUUUUGCUGUGCUCCAGUGAGCUGAAUCCGACAUGUGAACACUAUUUGUUAUCUGAUCUGAACUCAAUGCUAUGCUUGGCGUAGCGCGCGUUCUUGUCUGAGCAGAACCGCCUGCUAAGCACUCGCUACCUCCCUUCUCUCUGCAUCAUGGCCCUAGAACUCCUGUACCUCCAACUACCACAUCCAACGUAUCACUCAACACGGUACGAAGCAAACAACGAACCACUACGUGAAUAAUGCAAACAUCAAGACGCUGUGAUACGUGUUCACACGCUGCCUCUCAGCACACAGGAUGUGAGAGUAGGUGGUUGGUUUGGCCCAGGAAGCCGCGUCAAGGCCCGAUACACGGGCUCAGAUUUACACGACCGAUAUGUAUUGAAUUAAGGGCACCGCAUCAAGGCGUGACUCAGAAGAAACGCUCUGUAACUAAUCUAGACCCAGCCACCAGAGCAGCUCUCGGAGGACGGCCUGUUUGGGAUUACAGAGGGAGUGGGAGCUGGAGCUGCACCAUGAUGAGCACAUGGAUGAGCCAUAGGGGGCUUCCUAGCCACCAGAGGGAGUAACUAAGGAGAACGACUCUGUGGGACUGGCUGUCACCGUGUAUCUUUACCUCUGGAAGGGGACGCUCAUUUCCAAGUAGAACAGGAUAUUUCUGUGCUACGAAACCCGAGGACGAAUGCGAUUCAACCCCCUUUUUUAAGGAUUUAAGGAUUGGUUCACACAAAAGCGACUCAACACAUGUACUGGUACGAGCCAGCUGUGUGGACAGGAAGCGUAGAGGAUUCAAGAGAUGUAGAGGAAGUUAGGGUGACCUUUUGAUUCUCAACCGUUUCUGCAGAUAGUGUGGGCUGUGAGCGGUGUUUACUGGGGACACCAGGCAGUUUGUUCCUCCUCUACGGCACGUAGCCUCCAGCCCUGCCAGGAGUGAGCAAGUACAGCCAAUGCAGGGUGGACGAGGGGAAGCGCUGUAACUCAUUGAGCUCGUCCUUGUCUAGCUGUCACACCUAGUGGUUGGUGACAUCAGUGGCUGAGCAGGACACUCUGCCCCCCAGUGGAAGGUCGGUGGUAUUGCAGCUGCCUGUGGAACUCUCACCACCACCAUUUUUUCCCGCCCUUGUGGGGAGUGACUAUUUCAACACCAAAAACAUUGUUUGGCCCCAUGACAGCACAAGAGUGGCGCAGGGGUGGGAGAGAGGCCAAGGCGCUCUGAAAGCUAUGCAAGCCACAACAGUCUGUUUGUGGGGCUUUCUGUGAGGGAGUUCUGUAAAUGUGUUGUGUGAGAGGAAGUGACAGAGGCCCUCUGCUGACGGUCUUCUGUACUGCAGCCGUCCAACUGACUCCUGUUUCCUUAAUGAGCAACAAUUGCCUCGUGUUGGCAGUUGGACUGAACCGAGGUCUACUUGAUCAAACGCACGACAACGGACCGGUUGUUGGACGAAGAAAUUGGUUUGGCAGAAAUGAA